AUUGAACGCUGGCGGCAGGCUUAACACAUGCAAGUCGAACGAGUGGCGGACGGGUGAGUAAUGCUUGAGAAUCUAGCUUAUGGAGGGGGAUACCUACGGGAAACUGUAGCAAAUACCGCGAACAUUAGGAUGGGCCCAAUUGGGAUUAGGUGGUUGGUGAGGUAAAGGCUCACCAAGCCGACGACCUCUAGCUGGUCUGGGAGGAUGACCAGCCACACGGGGACUGAGACACGGCCCAGACUCCUACGGGAGGCAGCAGUGGGGAAUAUUGCGCAAUGGGGGCAACCUGACGCAGCCAUGCCGCGUGAAUGAAGAAGGCCUUCGGGUUGUAAAGUUCUUUCGGUAGCGAGGCGUUAACUACAGAAGAAGCACCGGCUAACUCCGUGCCAGCCGCGGUAAUAC
This 402-nucleotide ribosomal RNA is filed under the name uncultured bacterium. RNAcentral describes it as "partial 16S ribosomal RNA". It matches the Rfam family "Bacterial small subunit ribosomal RNA", at positions 30 to 526 of the family's 1533-position model. The record is from RNAcentral.